Molecule: long non-coding RNA, 208 nt
Organism: Cervus elaphus (red deer)
Lineage: Eukaryota; Metazoa; Chordata; Mammalia; Artiodactyla; Cervidae
Exons: 3
Source: RefSeq, a predicted model, not a curated record
UAGACGGUAGCCCACCAGGCUCCCGUCCCUGGGAUUCUCCAGGCAAGAACACUAGAGUGGGUUGCCAUUCCUUCUCCAGUGCAUGAAAGUGAAAAGUGAAAGUGAAGUCGCUCAGUCGUGCCCGAUUCGUCACGACCCCAUGGAGCAGAGCCCACCAGGCUCCUCUGUCAAUGGGAUUUCCCAGGCAAGGAUAGUAGAGUGGGUUGCC